Molecule: long non-coding RNA, 437 nt
Filed under: Numida meleagris (helmeted guineafowl)
Lineage: Eukaryota; Metazoa; Chordata; Aves; Galliformes; Numididae
Description: lncRNA (ENSNMEG00000014989.1)
Source: RNAcentral
UCAUUAGAAGUUUGAUAACCCAAUAACUUUGUAAUAAUUACUUCUUGGUUACUCUCAGGGAAUAAUUUGCCACAGGAGAUGCUGGAAUAUUAGACAUCAGCACUACAGCUGUAUUCAUAUUAAAGGCAUAUUUGAAUCUCAUCAUUUGUUGGAACCUCAUGGAUUUUUGACAUGCAAGGACAUCAGAAGGAUGUGCUGCCAUUCACUGAGACCUGGACAGGUUGGUCGUAGAAUAAUGUUCACAGGAGUUUCAGGCUAUGACCAGAAGUGGCACCAGCUCUGAGGGUGAGAGGCUUGUGUUUUCUGUUUUGUUACUAUACACACAAAAUGUUUGUUUAGGCAACAAUUGAUGUGUGGUUUUAUUAUACUGGUGCUAACUUGAGAGUGCUUUACCUGUUUUAUGGAGUUUUUUGACGGGAACUUUGAAGUGGAUAAAC